GAAGGGGGCUAGCGUUGCUCGGAAUUACUGGGCGUAAAGGGCGCGUAGGCGGACAUUUAAGUUAGAGGUGAAAGCCCAGGGCUCAACCCUGGAAUAGCCUUUAAUACUGGAUGUCUUGAGUUCGGGAGAGGUGAGUGGAAUGCCGAGUGUAGAGGUGAAAUUNGUAGAUAUUCGGCGGAACACCAGUGGCGAAGGCGACUCACUGGCCCGAUACUGACGCUGAGGCGCGAAAGCGUGGGGAGCAAACAGGAUUAGAUACCCUGGUAGUCCACGCUGUAAACGAUGAGUGCUAGUUGUCGGCAUGCAUGCAUGUCGGUGACGCAGCUAACGCAUUAAGCACUCCGCCUGGGGAGUACGGUCGCAAGAUUA
Molecule: ribosomal RNA, 369 nt
Filed under: uncultured bacterium
Lineage: Bacteria
Description: bacterial SSU rRNA
Rfam family: Bacterial small subunit ribosomal RNA
Source: RNAcentral